RNAcentral lists this unclassified non-coding RNA (252 nucleotides) under Hevea brasiliensis (rubber tree). Lineage: Eukaryota; Viridiplantae; Streptophyta; Magnoliopsida; Malpighiales; Euphorbiaceae. The record is from RNAcentral.
CUUUUACCCUGAAGCAGGGGUGGGGAUUUCCCAGGAAAGUUUAUUUCAAUGGUGAUGAAUGCAAGAUGCCACCACCAGAUGCAUACCCAUAUCUGCCAAAUUCUGCCUAUGCAAAUCCAGUUGCAUUUUCAACAAUGGCAGCUUCUUUGCUUUUGAUGUUACUUUCAAUAUGGUGAUCUAUCUUCUAUGGGGGAAAUUUUAUUCUUCAGAUCUCUUUGUAACAGAUAAUGCAGAUGCAGUUUAGGAAGCCAG